AACGCACCUUGCGCUCCUUGGUAUUCCGAGGAGCAUGCCUGUUUGAGUGUCAUUAAAUCAUCAACCCCCACUCCCUUGUGGUAUGGGGUGUUUGGACUUGGAGAUUGCAGGCCCCCUGGGCCAGCUCCUCUGAAAUGCAUUAGCAGAGCCCAUCAUGUGCAUCUGUGGCUUGGUGUGAUAGUAAAUCUACACCUAGCGAUGUUGUGCAUCGAAUCUGCUGCCAGUCGUCCGCUUCCUGGACAAUCAUUGACCAUUUGACCUCAAAUCAGGUAGGAUUACCCGCUGAACUUAA
RNAcentral lists this unclassified non-coding RNA (292 nucleotides) under uncultured Pluteus. Its description in RNAcentral is "sequence contains ITS2". The stretch from base 1 to 52 matches the Rfam family "5.8S ribosomal RNA", at positions 103 to 154 of the family's 154-position model. Lineage: Eukaryota; Fungi; Basidiomycota; Agaricomycetes; Agaricales; Pluteaceae. The record is from RNAcentral.